This 388-nucleotide RNase P RNA is filed under the name Roseibium aggregatum. RNAcentral's name for it is "Labrenzia aggregata RNase P RNA component class A". It matches the Rfam family "Bacterial RNase P class A". Rfam says of the family: Ribonuclease P (RNase P) is a ubiquitous endoribonuclease, found in archaea, bacteria and eukarya as well as chloroplasts and mitochondria. Its best characterised activity is the generation of mature 5'-ends of tRNAs by cleaving the 5'-leader elements of precursor-tRNAs. Cellular RNase Ps are ribonucleoproteins. Lineage: Bacteria; Pseudomonadati; Pseudomonadota; Alphaproteobacteria; Hyphomicrobiales; Stappiaceae. The record is from RNAcentral.
CCAGUCGGCCGGACAGCCGCUGCCGCAAGCGCCGAAAGGCCGCGGUGGAGGAAAGUCCGGGCUCCACGGAGACACGGUGCCGGGUAACGCCCGGCGAGGGCGACCUCAGGGAAAGUGCAACAGAAAGCAAACCGCCGCGGACCUGUCCGCGGUAAGGGUGAAAGGGUGGGGUAAGAGCCCACCGCGCCACCGGCAACGGGGGCGGCACGGUAAACCCCACCGGGAGCAAAACCGAAUAGGGGCAGCAUGGGCGCAAGCCCGGCCGGUUUCCAGGCUUGCUGCCCGGGUUGGUUGCUAGAGGCGUCCGGCAACGGGCGUCCCAGAUGAAUGGCUGUCACGUCCGCGCAAGCGGGCCAUACAGAACCCGGCUUACAGGCCGACUGGUCCU